AUUGAACGCUGGCGGCAUGCCUUACACAUGCAAGUCGAACGGCAGCACGGGUGCUUGCACCUGGUGGCGAGUGGCGAACGGGUGAGUAAUACAUCGGAACAUGUCCUGUAGUGGGGGAUAGCCCGGCGAAAGCCGGAUUAAUACCGCAUACGAUCUACGGAUGAAAGCGGGGGACCUUCGGGCCUCGCGCUAUAGGGUUGGCCGAUGGCUGAUUAGCUAGUUGGUGGGGUAAAGGCCUACCAAGGCGACGAUCAGUAGCUGGUCUGAGAGGACGACCAGCCACACUGGGACUGAGACACGGCCCAGACUCCUACGGGAGGCAGCAGUGGGGAUUUUUGGACAAUGGGCGAAAGCCUGAUCCAGCAAUGCCGCGUGUGUGAAGAAGGCCUUCGGGUUGUAAAGCACUUUUGUCCGGAAAGAAAUCCUUGGCCCUAAUACGGUCGGGGGAUGACGGUACCGGAAGAAUAAGCACCGGCUAACUACGUG
RNAcentral lists this ribosomal RNA (486 nucleotides) under uncultured bacterium. RNAcentral's name for it is "partial 16S ribosomal RNA". It matches the Rfam family "Bacterial small subunit ribosomal RNA", at positions 30 to 507 of the family's 1533-position model. The record is from RNAcentral.